RNAcentral lists this unclassified non-coding RNA (543 nucleotides) under Hyalopoa pontica. RNAcentral's name for it is "partial external transcribed spacer". Lineage: Eukaryota; Viridiplantae; Streptophyta; Magnoliopsida; Poales; Poaceae. The record is from RNAcentral.
UUGUUUUGGACCCGUGUCUGCCGGUAGGUCCCCCGUCUUUGUGCGGCCGACUACCGGCGCCGUGUCCCUUCGCCCCUGUGACUUUGUUACCGAUGCCUUUCAAGUGCUUGCGUGCUGGUACCCGAACUACGGGAAGUGGUGCUACGUACAUGUUGCCUCGCGGUGGACGCCUUCGGGUGUGCUGCUGCGGCCAUAUGGCGCUUGCGGCGUUGCCUCGUUGUGCUGGCGCGUUUACGUUCCUGGUGCUAUCAAGGCAACCUCGCUCCCGCUGUUGGUCUCGGAUGUUGCCCACGAUGAAGUCUCAUGGCCCUUCUGGUUGCCUAGACCCGACCCUAAGAAGCUCUCCGAAUUGAGAACAACCGGAACAGGUGUUGCCUCUACCUCUCCACAGUUAGUGGUAGGAUACGCAACAUUUUGUGUCGAUCCUCAAAUAAGUAGGACGAGCUCGGCCCGCUCAAUUGCGACAACUGGCCCGGCUGUUGCCUCUGUCUUGACGCGCAAGUGGAUGGACGGACAACUACCGACGCUGGACGUCAAAGAGGA